RNAcentral lists this ribosomal RNA (252 nucleotides) under uncultured bacterium. RNAcentral describes it as "partial 16S ribosomal RNA". It matches the Rfam family "Bacterial small subunit ribosomal RNA", at positions 524 to 776 of the family's 1533-position model. The record is from RNAcentral.
UACGGAGGAUUCGAGCGUUAUCCGGAUUUAUUGGGUUUAAAGGGAGCGUAGGCGGGUUGUUAAGUCAGUGGUCAAAUUGAGGGGCUCAACCCCUUCCCGCCAUUGAAACUGGCGAUCUUGAGUGGAAGAGAAGUAUGCGGAAUGCGUGGUGUAGCGGUGAAAUGCAUAGAUAUCGCGCAGAACCCCGAUCGCGAAGGCAGCAUGCCGGCUUCCUACUGACGCUGAAGCACGAAAGCGUGGGGAUCGAACAGG